RNAcentral lists this long non-coding RNA (257 nucleotides) under Helianthus annuus (common sunflower). RNAcentral's name for it is "hypothetical non coding rna". Lineage: Eukaryota; Viridiplantae; Streptophyta; Magnoliopsida; Asterales; Asteraceae. The record is from RNAcentral.
AUGUGUGUUAUGUUUGACCAACUGGGAACGGGUAAUGUAACGAAACAUACCGAGCAAAUCUAAGGUCUAUAGGCUUAUAUCAUUUGGAACUUGCUGUCUGGAAUGCUGGAGUGGUCAUGGGUCGAGAUACUUGGAAUCGCAAGACAAGUCUAACGGUUUUGUACAUGUGGUUUAUGAAACGCUUAACAAAUGAUUUAUGCUUCCGCUGAAUACAAUGAUUUACGUUUAAUGUUUUGUAACACUUCAUAAUAAUGAAU